This is a long non-coding RNA of Styela clava, 545 nucleotides long. RefSeq lists it as uncharacterized. The record is from RefSeq and is a predicted model, not a curated record. NCBI's taxonomy places the organism in Eukaryota, Metazoa, Chordata, Ascidiacea, Stolidobranchia, Styelidae.
ACCUGUAGAACGGAAAAUACGCAAAAUAUUCAUUUCAUGAAACGUCGAACAGUCUUGUGAAUGAAUUAUGUAUACUUUUAAGUAAUCUACACCAGUAUUGCACCAGAAUUUAGAAGCGUAGCCAAGCAGAAUCGUAUUUUUUUGUUCCACAACAACAAUUUAUCUGUCCGCAUAUCCAUUUGUAUCAUCUUUUGGUAAAAAGUUUAAACUAGCUUUGUUUCAAAAACCUUCAUCCCGAGUAAAAAUGAUGAACAAAAUCUUGGUACUGACCCUGAUGUUAGCUGUUGCUUCAGUGAUAAUACUCAACGUAGAGGCUGGGUGCAAUCCGCCAGGUGAGUACCCUGCGAUUUGCAACGGGGAGGAUGUUUGUGGAAAUGAUUGCGAUUUGCCGUGUUUUCCCGGAGAAGAAUGCGUUGACUCAAUGUGCCAAGAAAUUCCGUGAGGAUGAUUCAUCACUACGUACAGCAAGAUAUCAUCGCAUUAUAAUUAUGUUGAUUAUUUUAUUAUCCUUAUGUAAUUCUACGUAGUUUGAUAAUAUAUAUUCA